This 376-nucleotide unclassified non-coding RNA is filed under the name uncultured Sporidiobolales. RNAcentral describes it as "sequence contains ITS1". The stretch from base 1 to 105 matches the Rfam family "5.8S ribosomal RNA", at positions 50 to 154 of the family's 154-position model. Lineage: Eukaryota; Fungi; Basidiomycota; Microbotryomycetes; Sporidiobolales. The record is from RNAcentral.
GAAAUGUGAUAAGUAAUGUGAAUUGCAGAAUUCAGUGAAUCAUCGAAUCUUUGAACGCACCUUGCGCUCUCUGGUAUUCCGGAGAGCAUGCCUGUUUGAGUGUCAUGAACUCUUCAACCCACCCUUUCCUUGUUGAUCGGUGUUGGUGUUUGGAUCUUGAACGUUUUGCAGACUGCUUGUCAGCCUGCUCGUUCGUAAUACAUUAGCCUUCUCAAUUUCGACCUUCGGAUUGACUCAGCGUAAUAGACUAUUCGCUGAGGACACUGCUUCGGCGGUGGCCGAACUGUAGAUAACUACGAAGCUUCUAAUCUCAUAUUUGUAGUCAAAUUUUUUGAAUUUAGACCUCAAAUCAGGCAGGAUUACCCGCUGAACUUAA